UGGGCUCGAACGGCUCGUGAACGGCUGUGGAAACAUGGCUUUCCCGCAAGGGACUAGAGUCGAGGUGCUGCAUGGCUGUCGUCAGCUCGUGUCGUGAGAUGUUGGGUUAAGUCCCGCAACGAGCGCAACCCUCGUCCUGUGUUGCUAACCGAAAGGUGCACUCUCAGGAGACUGCCGGCGAUAAGCUGGAGGAAGGUGGGGAUGACGUCAAGUCAUCAUGGCCUUUA
This 227-nucleotide ribosomal RNA is filed under the name uncultured bacterium. RNAcentral's name for it is "partial 16S ribosomal RNA". It matches the Rfam family "Bacterial small subunit ribosomal RNA", at positions 976 to 1204 of the family's 1533-position model. The record is from RNAcentral.